CAGCAGCCGCGGUAAUACAGAGGGUGCGAGCGUUAAUCGGAUUUACUGGGCGUAAAGCGUGCGUAGGCGGCUUUUUAAGUCGGAUGUGAAAUCCCUGAGCUUAACUUAGGAAUUGCAUUCGAUACUGGGAAGCUAGAGUAUGGGAGAGGAUGGUAGAAUUCCAGGUGUAGCGGUGAAAUGCGUAGAGAUCUGGAGGAAUACCGGUGGCGAAGGCGGCCCCCUGGACAAAGACUGACGCUCAGGUGCGAAAGCGUGGGGAGCAAACAGGAUUAGAUACCCGUGUAGUCCCUGUCUCUUAUAC
RNAcentral lists this ribosomal RNA (301 nucleotides) under uncultured bacterium. RNAcentral describes it as "partial 16S ribosomal RNA". It matches the Rfam family "Bacterial small subunit ribosomal RNA", at positions 509 to 807 of the family's 1533-position model. The record is from RNAcentral.